This 566-nucleotide ribosomal RNA is filed under the name Debaryomyces hansenii. RNAcentral's name for it is "partial large subunit ribosomal RNA". It matches the Rfam family "Eukaryotic large subunit ribosomal RNA", at positions 74 to 656 of the family's 3401-position model. Lineage: Eukaryota; Fungi; Ascomycota; Pichiomycetes; Serinales; Debaryomycetaceae. The record is from RNAcentral.
AUUGCCUUAGUACGGCGAGUGAAGCGGCAAAAGCUCAAAUUUGAAAUCUGGCACCUUCGGUGUCCGAGUUGUAAUUUGAAGAAGGUAACUUUGGAGUUGGCUCUUGUCUAUGUUCCUUGGAACAGGACGUCACAGAGGGUGAGAAUCCCGUGCGAUGAGAUGCCCAAUUCUAUGUAAAGUGCUUUCGAAGAGUCGAGUUGUUUGGGAAUGCAGCUCUAAGUGGGUGGUAAAUUCCAUCUAAAGCUAAAUAUUGGCGAGAGACCGAUAGCGAACAAGUACAGUGAUGGAAAGAUGAAAAGAACUUUGAAAAGAGAGUGAAAAAGUACGUGAAAUUGUUGAAAGGGAAGGGCUUGAGAUCAGACUUGGUAUUUUGCGAUCCUUUCCUUCUUGGUUGGGUUCCUCGCAGCUUACUGGGCCAGCAUCGGUUUGGAUGGUAGGAUAAUGACUAAGGAAUGUGGCUCUACUUCGGUGGAGUGUUAUAGCCUUGGUUGAUACUGCCUGUCUAGACCGAGGACUGCGUCUUUUGACUAGGAUGUUGGCAUAAUGAUCUUACGACACCCGUCUUG